Molecule: transfer RNA, 71 nt
Filed under: Pista cristata
Lineage: Eukaryota; Metazoa; Annelida; Polychaeta; Terebellida; Terebellidae
Description: tRNA-Cys
Rfam family: tRNA
About the family: Transfer RNA (tRNA) molecules are approximately 80 nucleotides in length.
Source: RNAcentral
GGUCUCAUAGUUGAAAUUUUACAACAUUAAACUGCAAAUUUAAAAGAGUAGCUAUAUUACUACUGAGGCUU